GAGAGUUUUGUUUUGUGAUUCUUAAAGCCCAAACUGAGAAUGAUCAUUAUAUAAGAAUUAAUUUCUUCUUGUAGGAAGACACUACUGUUGGCCCGACAGCUUAAAGACCGAGCUGUAGAAGCACAGUCUUGUUACAGUCUUGGAAAUACAUAUACUUUACUUCAAGACUAUGAAAAGGCCAUUGAUUAUCAUCUGAAGCACUUAGCAAUUGCUCAAGAGCUGAAUGAUAGGUAUGUUUUACGUCUUUUUACCAUAACUAAGGUAAAAUAUAGAUGCAUUAUUGAAUCCCUAGAAUUUUUCCUUUGUUUCUUUUCCUUUGUUUUCCUUAAAAUCCCUUUUAAGGAAUUUUCUUUCAGUGAUAUCCUCUGUAUAUCAUUGUAUGAAGGGCUAGUCUGUGAUAGAGGAUUAGUCUGGUUCCAU
RNAcentral lists this long non-coding RNA (420 nucleotides) under Homo sapiens (human). RNAcentral's name for it is "long non-coding RNA NONHSAT149516". Lineage: Eukaryota; Metazoa; Chordata; Mammalia; Primates; Hominidae. The record is from RNAcentral.